AUUUGCAUAUACACACACUGUUAUUGCCCAUGCGCUUUAACGCCUCACACGUCGAGUUUAGCUACAAAAUGUAUCGUUUUAACAAAAUGCCGUUUGUAACGCGAUUGGGAGCUCAAGUCGACGGGGAACUCAUCUCAUCUCGACCUAAGCUAGUUUAGCUUGGCAGCUAACUAGCUUAGCUGGUGUUCUACUGUUUUCUGUUGCCGUCAACAAUGCUGUCUGUGAGCAGUAUUCACCGGUAGCAGUAGUCACCGAUGCCUACUAUCCACAGACCAAUGGACUGAACGAAAGAACCAGUCAGACCCUGAAAUUGCGCUUGGCCAAACUUGUGAAUGACAGACAGGAUGACUGGGACCAGUUCCUUCAUGAAGUUGCCUACUCCAUCCAGAAACAGGCUACAACAAAGUACACCCCGUUUUUCCUGAUGUUUGGACAGCACCCCAGGGCUGCAACAGAGGUCCUUGCAAACAUCAACAACACAAGAGAAACAGAAAGCAAAAAAAAAUAAAUAAAAGAAGAUGGGCACGAAGUCGAAGAAAUCAAAGAGCCAGGAGGGUCUGGGACCAAGUGGAGAACCAGACACAGACAGUCUGGAGCCCUUCAUGAGCCAAAGCGGGACUGAGGCCGUCAGAAAGUGGAAGAGCACAGCAUGGUACUUUUUCACCAAGGAACAGGAAGAAGACAUUGGUAAGUGGUACAAAAAGAAUGACUGUUUGUACAACUGCCGCCUCAACUGCUACAAGAAUGUGGAAAAGAAGCAGCCCUCUGAGGAGAAGAACACAAGAGUGGACACAGUCAUUGGCUCAUCCAGCCACUCACACCGCCAUCUCGUUAAAGGUGUUGGAUGAGAUGACAAGUCUUGCUCAAACAAAGGCACCCAGCCCCACCCCUUCCAGCUAAAUAUCAGGUGUUACGUACUGAGAUUACCCCUGUACCAGAUUUGUAUAUUCAGUAUCGCAAAAACUAGGGCAUUUGUCUGUACUGAGUUUACCCUUUCUGUGUGUGGAAACAAAGUCAAGUUUAAUGUGAAUGAAUUAUGGUCCUAUCUCUUAAUGAUAUUGCUUCCCUGGAUGCAGUGCUUUGUCUGAACAGGGUUCAAAUCAAAUGAACAGGGGAGUUAUUUUUGAAACCUGCUCUCCACCUCUUCACCUGAAGCUAUUCACCCCUGAUUACUUGUUUUGUUCAACCAGCAACCCAGACACUCAGCUGAGUUUUGACAGCCAUUCAAAAUCAUCACAAAGUUAACCAGUUAUAUUAAACCAGUUUAAAGUAUUUGAAUGCCUUUCAGAUUACUAGUAGUAGAAAGCAUACUUCAAUACUCCUGUGUUUAUAAGCCCUGAACUCGGUUGAUGUGCAGGUGGAGGCAACAUUCCACUUGUAUGGACCAUGCCAUAUGCACACUGGUAAAAAUUUGGAUUAUUAUUCUAAUUAUUAUUAUUUUAUUUUUAUUUAUUUAUUUAUUUUUUCCACAUACAAAAUUGACCACAUUUCUAAAAACACCAUGUGUUUUUGGUGUUGGAGCAAGGCUCCAAGCCUCAUGUCUGAGCUGCUGUUCACCAACUUCGCAUGUUACUGUAUAUUAAAGUGUUUAGGGUUAGGAUUAGGAUAAAGUAGUUCAGGGUUUAAUUAGUCUGAAAUGCAUAAAGCUACUAAAUUUGAGCAAUAGUUCCAGUUCUGGAAUAUGGCUUUGUGCAUUUCUGGAAGUGUUGGGCUGCAGCAAUAUUCCAAUAUGAUCCAGAACCAAUUUCUGAAUUUUUAAAAUUUACAGACUACAUGGAACACAAUCAUGUAACUCAAUGGGAGGCCAAGAGAGAGGACGUUUGAGGUACCUACAUGCAUGAGGUGCCUCGGGUUUGUACCUGGAUGCUGCCGUACAGUGGAUGACCUAUCAAGGAUCUAAGCAUUUGAACAGUUGGCAGCGUGGGUGGCUGCCAUCCAGCACCCACGGCAGUUCCAUAUUGUGCUGGACAAUCCUUAUUACUCAUCUUUUUUGCUGGUCUUUGACCCUAAUCACCAAUGUUUGAACCUUGCUAAUGAAGUUAUGUUCUCAUUACUGUUUAUCUGACUUUGAUCCUGAAACCAAAAUCAAAGGAAUGGAGAGGAAAGGUCAAGGAUCAAAGUCAAGAUUUGUCCCUUGUUCAGGAUCAAAGGAGUGUUUUGAGGCUCAUCGCCACAUUUUAUGUUUUCUUGAAUGAAAAUCCUUCAGUGCCCCACUCCACCAUUAAGCUCUGACCACUGAUGCAACAGACAGAAGUUACACUGUCCACAGUUUGUCUAAUCAUAGCCACAAAAGCCUAGAACUCCAUCAUAAUUAUCAUGUUGUCUUCCCUCACUUGCCUCUUUGUCAGUCACUCAGUGUUUGUUUAUAUAAAUGUAACACAUAGUCAGUGAGUUGGAAAUGUUCAUGUAUCCAUCUCAAUUUCUCAGAAGAAAUAUGGUUGUAAAAGUGAUUUGUAAUGAAAAUAACACUUUGUUCAAUCACUUAUUUCUGAAAAUGGAGGGACUGCAUAAAAGUUUGAACAAUUUCUAAGUUGUUAAUGGGAUAUUUUUAACCCUUUGAAUUAAAGCUGAAGCUCUGCA
Thalassophryne amazonica is the source of this 2580-nucleotide long non-coding RNA. RefSeq lists it as uncharacterized. The transcript has 3 exons. NCBI's taxonomy places the organism in Eukaryota, Metazoa, Chordata, Actinopteri, Batrachoidiformes, Batrachoididae. The record is from RefSeq and is a predicted model, not a curated record.